GAUGAAGAACGUAGCGAAAUGCGAUACGUAAUGUGAAUUGCAGAAUUCAGUGAAUCAUCGAAUCUUUGAACGCAUAUUGCGCUCUCUGGUAUUCCGGAGAGCAUGCUUGUUUGAGUAUCAGUAAACACCUCAACUUCCAUAUCUUUUUUGAAAUGGGAGUUGGACUUGAGUGAUCCCAACGCUUUUCCUCACCGAAAAGUGGCGGGUUACUUGAAAUGCAGGUGCAGCUGGACUUUUCUCUGAGCUAUAAGCAUAUCUAUUUAGUCUGCCUAAAAAACAGAUUAUUACCUUUGCUGCAGCUAACAUAAAGGAGAUUAGUUCUUGUGCUGACUGAUGCAGCAUUCACAAAGACAGGCUUCGGCCGACUUUGUAAACUCGAUCUCAAAUCAAGUAAGACUACCCGCUGAACUUAAGCAUAUCAAUAAGCGGAGGA
Molecule: unclassified non-coding RNA, 433 nt
Filed under: soil metagenome
Description: partial contains 5.8S ribosomal RNA, internal transcribed spacer 2, and large subunit ribosomal RNA
Rfam family: 5.8S ribosomal RNA (bases 1-120)
Source: RNAcentral